RNAcentral lists this long non-coding RNA (267 nucleotides) under Mytilus galloprovincialis (Mediterranean mussel). The record is from RNAcentral. Lineage: Eukaryota; Metazoa; Mollusca; Bivalvia; Mytilida; Mytilidae.
GCUCGUUAUAUCCUUCGCAUGAUUUGUCCUAUUUUGACCGAAGCGAUAUGACCGCUCCAUAUGAGAGUUAUUUCCCCUUAUGCAUCUGAUAUAAGUGAUAUGAAUUUCUAUCUUAUAAAUCAUAAGUGAUAGAGACCUAGGAUCUUUUGAUUUGAGGUCCUUGGUCCCAAAAAAUGAAAAUUAGGUCAAGGUCAAAGGUCAAGGUCAUAUUCUGAUAUUUGAAUUUGGCUUAUUUUCACUUAUAUCCAAAGACUGUAUAAGAUAUCA